RNAcentral lists this small nuclear RNA (175 nucleotides) under Suricata suricatta (meerkat). Its description in RNAcentral is "U4 spliceosomal RNA (ENSSSUG00005015384.1)". It matches the Rfam family "U4 spliceosomal RNA". From Rfam's summary of the family: U4 small nuclear RNA (U4 snRNA) is a component of the major U2-dependent spliceosome. The structure of U4 snRNA from yeast and human has been reported. Lineage: Eukaryota; Metazoa; Chordata; Mammalia; Carnivora; Herpestidae. The record is from Rfam by way of RNAcentral.
AGCUUUGUGCAGGGGCAGUAUCCUAGUCAAUGAGGUUUAUCUAAGGUGUCAUUAUUGCUAAUUGAAAACUUUUCCCAACAUCCCGCUCUGACAACAUGAAAUGUAAAAGAUUGUACCAAAGGUGAUACUGCAGUGGUACAAGGGUGUCCGCAAGCUUUAUAGCAAAUUUUAAUUU